RNAcentral lists this transfer RNA (72 nucleotides) under Camelus ferus (Wild Bactrian camel). It matches the Rfam family "tRNA". Rfam says of the family: Transfer RNA (tRNA) molecules are approximately 80 nucleotides in length. Their secondary structure includes four short double-helical elements and three loops (D, anti-codon, and T loops). The record is from Rfam by way of RNAcentral. Lineage: Eukaryota; Metazoa; Chordata; Mammalia; Artiodactyla; Camelidae.
GAGGGUAUAGCUCAGUGGUAGAGCACAUGCUUAACAUGCAUGAGGUCCUGGGUUCAAAACCCAGUACCUCCA